This 253-nucleotide ribosomal RNA is filed under the name uncultured bacterium. Its description in RNAcentral is "partial 16S ribosomal RNA". It matches the Rfam family "Bacterial small subunit ribosomal RNA", at positions 524 to 776 of the family's 1533-position model. The record is from RNAcentral.
UACGAAGGGGACUAGCGUUGUUCGGAAUUACUGGGCGUAAAGCGUGCGCAGGCGGUUUUGUAAGUUUGUCGUGAAAGCCCCGGGCUCAACCUGGGAAUUGCGAUGAAGACUGCAAGGCUUGAAUCUGGCAGAGGGGGGUAGAAUUCCACGUGUAGCAGUGAAAUGCGUAGAGAUGUGGAGGAACACCGAUGGCGAAGGCAGCCCCCUGGGUCAAGAUUGACGCUCAUGCACGAAAGCGUGGGGAGCAAACAGG